Molecule: long non-coding RNA, 1630 nt
Organism: Neofelis nebulosa (Clouded leopard)
Lineage: Eukaryota; Metazoa; Chordata; Mammalia; Carnivora; Felidae
Exons: 4
Source: RefSeq, a predicted model, not a curated record
AUGCCCAUUUCAUUCUUGGGAAUGUUCUUUACCCAGAGGAAGCUGAGCUCCGGGAGUAAUGUCAGUAGAAACAGGCUUGAGGAUGAGGUCUUCCGUGCAGGGCGGAUAAAAGCAGGAGGCAGGCAGGCCAAACACAUUUCUUUGAUAACCGCCCACAGCCAGCUCAGCAUCCGGAGGGUGGUUCCAUAAACACCACUGACUGACAACAGCCAGGAUUCACUUCUUCCUCCACUCUGCCCACACCCUCUUUCCAUAAGAUAUUCCACUAUAUAAAUGUGUGUUGUCAUUUUGGCCAAAGUGAUGUCUUUUUUUUUUUUUUUUUUUUUAACAUUUAUUUAUUAUUGAGAGAAAGACACAGAGCAUGAGCAGGGGAGGGGUAGAGAGAUGGGGAGACACAGAAUCCGAAGCAGGCUCCAGGCUCCGAGCUGAAAGCACAGAGCCCGACGCGGGGCUCGAACUCAUGAACCGUGAGAUCAUGAUCCGAGCCGAAGUCAGACGCUCAACCGAUUGAGCCACCCAGGCACCCCAACGAAAGUGGGUGUGGAGACAAGAAGCUUUAAGCGACAGCUACAGGAGCAGCAAACAAAGAUUUUGUGAACUGCGAUUAAAACCUGGGUUAUGCAGUGUGAUAGCAAUUUGAGCAGCACUAUCUAGUCUAACAAUCAGCACAAGAUCUGCCAUUUUAAUCCAGCGGCUCCAGACAGGAGUAGACCGAAUAUCAACCAGCUCCUGACAAGUCACCAAAGAUGGCCUUGUAAGGUGUCUUCACCCUGGGAUUUCAGGCUAAAUUCCCACAGUUUCUUCAACUGAAGGCACUGCCUUAAUUCCCAUCCCACAAAUCGACCGUGUCUCACCGUGUUCGCACCUUGCCCCUUCCCCACAUUUCCUAGAAAGGUGGAAAAGACGUCAAACGUGAUUUCUACCUAUGGGUCCAGAAGAUGCAAUCAAAUGUCAAAGACACCUGGGUCACGGACGUGUAGCCAGGAGCGUGUUUUUCCCUAAACACAACUGAACUGCUCCCCCCCCCCCCACGCCCACCCCCCAGCUUUCUGUCCGGUCAGCGCUCUUGGGCCUUAGGUAUUCCUCUCUUAUCUGAAGGGAUUCUUCAAUGGCCCUUACACCCGGGAGCGCUGGGGCCUGCUGCCUCCAGCCACCUCUUGAACACAGUCAAGUGGGCAUGAACACCACUAAUACAGGAAACUGCACCGUGUCCAACCAGCAGCUACAGAAAACCAACAAUGGGUAACAUCUCCGAAGAGGGAACUGCCUGGAUUCCGUUUCUGAAAUUGGACAAAUUUAGUUUUUAAAUACCUCCUAGGGUCACCACUUCUUGAUCAUUCCACUCAUCGGGACCAUCUUUUCUCGCCGCACAUAACCUUUGCUUAAGGGCUCACCGUGGCUCCCUUUGGAAGCGUCUUAACUGUAUAUACGUCUCUACCAUUCUACCUUAUUAGGGUGAUCCUGUAACUGCUUUUAUAAUCUAGAAACCGUCUUUGGAUAAUUAUAAACACCUUAACUAAUUCAAAUCACGUUCGUACUUUUGACCUAGUUAUUUCUGUGAAUUUAUCCCAAGGAAAUAAGGUUUUACUGUCAUGGUGUCUAAAGUAUCAAAGAAUUAGACAUAAUUAAC